UGCCGUCUUGGGGAUGGAGUCCCCCUGACAACCGCCCUGGCCGGGCUGAUGACUCCUACCGCGCA
RNAcentral lists this non-coding RNA (65 nucleotides) under uncultured Desulfobacterium sp. RNAcentral's name for it is "crcB". It matches the Rfam family "Fluoride riboswitch aptamer (crcB RNA motif)". The record is from RNAcentral. Lineage: Bacteria; Pseudomonadati; Thermodesulfobacteriota; Desulfobacteria; Desulfobacterales; Desulfobacteriaceae.